This is a long non-coding RNA of Humulus lupulus (European hop), 505 nucleotides long. RefSeq lists it as uncharacterized. The record is from RefSeq and is a predicted model, not a curated record. Lineage: Eukaryota; Viridiplantae; Streptophyta; Magnoliopsida; Rosales; Cannabaceae. The transcript has 4 exons.
UUUCUCUAUAAUUUUUCAAAAAGUAGUACCGAGGAGGUAAUCUGGUUUUUGUUUGUCUCUAUCUUUCUCUACCGAGGUCAGUACGUCAGAGCUGUCUUUCUACAUUUAUGCUUCGUACUUCCUAGAAAUCUCAUGAUCUUCCUAUGCAUGCAGAGGGAAGAAGCAGUAUGAACCACCUAGGUACAUGACAAUAAAGACUGCCAUUGAGCAGCUCCUGGAAGUUGUGCAAGCAAAAGUAGAAUCUGUCUGCAAUGAAGACACGGAGUGUGUUGGUUUUGCUAGAAUUGGAAGUGAAGAUUAGAUCAUUGUGGCUGGUACAAUGAAGCAACUUCAAUUGCAUAUUUUUUUCCUAUCAAAUAGUACUGUAGGAGUGUGCAACUACUCAAAUUUUGACAUGUUAUUAUGUAAAAAAUUAAACUCUUCAAUAUUUUGUGCUGAAAGUAGUAACUUUUCAAUAUGUUGAAUAUUUAAGACUACUUGAAUACUUAAAGAACAUUUUGUUGUU